GAUGAACGCUAGCUAUAGGCUUAACACAUGCAAGUCGAGGGGAAACGGCAUUAUGUGCUUGCACAUUUUGGACGUCGACCGGCGCACGGGUGAGUAUCGCGUAUCCAACCUGCCCUUUACUUGGGGAUACCCCGUUGAAAGACGGCCUAAUACCCGAUGUAAUUCAUUGAUGGCAUCAGAUAUGAAUAAAAGAUUUAUCGGUAAAGGAUGGGGAUGCGUCUGAUUAGCUGGUUGGUGAGGUAACGGCUCACCGAGGCGACGAUCAGUAGGGGUUCUGAGAGGAAGGUCCCCGACAUUGGAACUGCGACACGGUCCAGACUCCUACGGGAGGCAGCAGUGAGGAAUAUUGGUCAAGGGGAGGAAGACUGAACCAGCCAAGUAGGGUGCAGGAAGACGGCCCUAGGGGUUGUAAGCUGCUUUUAUACGAGAAUAAUUUGAUGAACGUGUGCGUUAUUGCAUGUAUCGUAUGAAUAAGGACCGGCUAAUUCCGUG
RNAcentral lists this ribosomal RNA (492 nucleotides) under uncultured bacterium. RNAcentral's name for it is "partial 16S ribosomal RNA". It matches the Rfam family "Bacterial small subunit ribosomal RNA", at positions 28 to 507 of the family's 1533-position model. The record is from RNAcentral.